GGCCUAGUAGCGCAGUGGUUAACGCGUCGCACUUGUAAUGCGGAGAUUCCCGUGUUCGAUUCACGGCUGGGCCU
This is a non-coding RNA of Penicillium roqueforti FM164, 74 nucleotides long. The record is from Rfam. NCBI's taxonomy places the organism in Eukaryota, Fungi, Ascomycota, Eurotiomycetes, Eurotiales, Aspergillaceae.